This 261-nucleotide ribosomal RNA is filed under the name uncultured bacterium. RNAcentral describes it as "partial 16S ribosomal RNA". It matches the Rfam family "Bacterial small subunit ribosomal RNA", at positions 1229 to 1500 of the family's 1533-position model. The record is from RNAcentral.
UAGGCAGGUACAGAGGGAUGCUACCGGGCGCCGGAUGCGGAUCUCGAAAGCCUGUCCCAGUUCGGACUGGAGUCUGCAACCCGACUCCACGAAGUUGGAUUCGCUAGUAAUCGCGCAUCAGCCAUGGCGCGGUGAAUACGUUCCCGGGCCUUGUACACACCGCCCGUCAAGCCAUGGGAGCCGGGGGUGCCUGAAGUUCGUGACCGCAAGGAGCGACCUAGGGCAAAACUGGUGACUGGGGCUAAGUCGUAACAAGGUAAC